UACGUAGGGCGCGAGCGUUGUCCGGAAUUAUUGGGCGUAAAGGGCUUGUAGGCGGUUUGUCGCGUCUGCCGUGAAAUUCCCUGGCUUAACUGGGGGCGUGCGGUGGGUACGGGCAGGCUUGAGUGCGGUAGGGGAGACUGGAAUUCCUGGUGUAGCGGUGGAAUGCGCAGAUAUCAGGAGGAACACCGGUGGCGAAGGCGGGUCUCUGGGCCGUUACUGACGCUGAGGAGCGAAAGCAUGGGGAGCGAACAGGAUUAGAUACCCUGGUAGUCCAUGCUGUAAACGUUGGGCACUAGGUGUGGGGGCCGUCCUUGGUUUCUGCGCCGUAGCUAACGCUUUAAGUGCCCCGCCUGGGGAGUACGGCCGCAAGGCUAAA
RNAcentral lists this ribosomal RNA (376 nucleotides) under uncultured bacterium. RNAcentral describes it as "bacterial SSU rRNA". It matches the Rfam family "Bacterial small subunit ribosomal RNA", at positions 524 to 898 of the family's 1533-position model. The record is from RNAcentral.